This 460-nucleotide ribosomal RNA is filed under the name uncultured bacterium. RNAcentral describes it as "partial 16S ribosomal RNA". It matches the Rfam family "Bacterial small subunit ribosomal RNA", at positions 338 to 795 of the family's 1533-position model. The record is from RNAcentral.
CCUACGGGGUGCAGCAGUGAGGAAUAUUGGUCAAUGGGCGCGAGCCUGAACCAGCCAAGUAGCGUGAAGGAUGACUGCCCUACGGGUUGUACACUUCUUUUAUAAAGGAAUAAAGUGAUGCACGUGUGCCUUUUUGUAUGUACUUUCUGAACAAGGCUCGGCUAACUCCGUGCCAGCAGCCGCGGUAAUACGGAGGAUCUGAGCGUUAUCCGGAUUUAUUGGGUUUAAAGGGAGCGUAGAUGGGUUGUUAAGUCAGUUGUGAAAGUGUGCGGCUCAACCGUAAAAUUGCAAUUGAUACUGGCAGUCUUGAGUACAGUUGAGGUAGGCGGAAUUCGUGGUGUAGCGGUGAAAUGCUUAGAUAUCACGAAGAACUCCGAUUGCGAAGGCAGCUUACUAAACUGCCACUGACAUUGAUGCUCGAAAGUGUGGGUAUCAAACAGGAUUAGAUACCCGAGUAGUC